CUUUAGUCCAAUUUAUACAUGCAAGUAUCCGCACUCCUGUGAGAAUGCCCUCAAUCCCCUGCCCGAGGACGAGGAGCUGGUAUCAGGCACACAUCCAUUGCCCAAGACGCCUUGCUUAGCCACACCCCCAAGGGAACUCAGCAGUAAUAAACAUUAAUGUAUAAGUGAAAACUUGACUUAGCUAGGACUAAGAGGGCCGGUAAAAUUCGUGCCAGCCACCGCGGUUAUACGAAAGACCCUAGUUUAUAGAUACGGCGUAAAGGGUGGUUAGAGAUCUUAUAAAAUAAAGCUAAAGACUUCCUAAGCCGUUAUACGCUCAUGUAAGUACUAAACCCAUACACGAAAGUAACUUUAUAACAUACCCGAUUCCACGAAAGCUGGGAGACAAACUGGGAUUAGAUACCCCACUAUGCCCAGCCGUAAACCUAGAUAGAAUAUUACAAAACUAUCCGCCAGGGAACUACAAGCACAGCUUAAAACCCAAAGGACUUGGCGGUGCCUCAGACCCACCUAGAGGAGCCUGUUCUAGAACCGAUAACCCCCGUUAAACCUCACCACCCCUUGUCCAUCCCGCCUAUAUACCGCCGUCGUCAGCUUACCCUGUGAAGGUAUUACAGUAAGCGAAAUGAGUUUAACCCAAAACGUCAGGUCGAGGUGUAGCGCACGGAGUGGGAAGAAAUGGGCUACAUUUUCUAACACAGAAUAACACGAAUUGUACUAUGAAAUUUAGUACCUGAAGGAGGAUUUAGUAGUAAAAAGCAAAUAGAGUGUCCUUUUGAAUUAGGCUCUGAGGCGCGCACACACCGCCCGUCACUCUCCCCAUCACAAUUAAAUCAUUCAUACUUAAGUAUACAACAAAAAAUUCGGGGAGGCAAGUCGUAACAUGGUAAGUGUACCGGAAGGUGCACUUGGAAUAAC
RNAcentral lists this non-coding RNA (918 nucleotides) under Lithoxus planquettei. Its description in RNAcentral is "partial 12S ribosomal RNA". It matches the Rfam family "Bacterial small subunit ribosomal RNA". Lineage: Eukaryota; Metazoa; Chordata; Actinopteri; Siluriformes; Loricariidae. The record is from RNAcentral.